UGUUGCUGACGAGACGCUGAUGUCAGCAGGUGGAUGAUUGAUUCUGCUUGCGCUCUUACUGGAUUUCAUCAACCAAACAAGUAGCCUAAGGAAAUCAGUAUCAGAUCCACCUCUAGCCGACCAUGUCUGAACCGGGUUCUGGUUGUGGUGUUCCGGCCCAUACAAGCUCACAACAGGAUCCAGAGAUGGUGUCAGUGAAGCUGGGGGACUGCAGUCAAACACUGGAACUCAAUGUGAUUGUCAAAGAGGAGGGAGAGAGCGAGGACGGAAACAGUGACUCUGUUGACUCCGGUAAAUUCAGGCUAACAACAUAAUCUUUGUGUUAUACAAAUCAAGAUCAUUGAAUUAACCAGCUAAUUUUGAUAAACAACAUUACAGUUGAUUAUCUGGUACAUUAAGACAUCUACACUUAUAUGUGUGUUUUUGGUUGUUGAGUCAAAUUAGACCAUGCCAAUAUCAAGCUUCAAGUUAUUUCUGAAUAUUUAGACAAAUUUGUAUUUAUUAUGGAUCCCCAUUCUGAGGUCCAGCAAAAUGAAGGCAGUUAUACAUUUUAAAAAUAUUACAAAACAUUCAUAAGAGUUUUCACAACAUAUUAAGCGUGUGCCCUCAGGCCUCUACUCCACUACCACAUAUCUACAACACAAAAUCCAUGUGUUACGUGUCUAUGAUUGUUGCUUCACAGUCCCAGCUGUUCAAUAGGGUGUAUUUUUUUAUCCGUUUUUUUAUUCUUUCAGUGAAAUAUGGAACCGUUCUGUAUUUUAUCUAACGGGUGGCAUCCAUACGCCUAAAUAUUGCUGUUACAUUGCACAACCUUCAAUGUUAUGUCAUAAUUAUGUACAAUUCUGGCAAAUUAGUUUGCAACGAGCCAGGCGGCCCAAACUGCUGCAUAUACCCUGACUCUGUUGCACAGAACGCAAGAGAAGUGACACAAUUUCCCUAGUUAAAAUAAA
This is a long non-coding RNA of Salvelinus fontinalis (brook trout), 950 nucleotides long. RefSeq lists it as uncharacterized. The transcript is spliced from 2 exons. The record is from RefSeq and is a predicted model, not a curated record. Lineage: Eukaryota; Metazoa; Chordata; Actinopteri; Salmoniformes; Salmonidae.